CUUUUACUCUCCACCACCACCACAAUCAACCGCUUUUUUCUUCUUCUUGUUCGCUCGUCACAAAUUCUCCCUCUCUCUUUCCAAAUCAAAACUACUGUGCAGAAACUGCUACUAUAUGCAGCAAAAAUAAAAUGCUAAGUAGUUUUGAGGGAAGACCCUUCAAAUACAAAUUUGGAUUUUGAAUUCUAGAGAGCUGAUAUAUUUUACUUAAAGCCUAUGUCCAAGGCUGAGCACAUGGGUGUUUCUCCAUCAAAAGUUUCUCAUACUAAAAGUUAUUCAUGCCCUGCACAAACUACACUGGAAAAUACGCACGAACCCAGUGCUGAAUACAAUUUUGGUGGAUAUCCGGAAGAGAGGCAUAAGCUUGAGUGUGAAAUCAUACAAACUGAAGCUGGAGAUAGCAGUGCUGCAGUUCUCCAAUCUUGUUCUGGUGAAGUUGUGCAACCAUCUACUGACGAUUUAACAAAAAGUUCUCUUAUUGAUUUGGACCCACCUCCUGACAAUGCAAGGAGUGCUCCGUUUGAUAAUAGUCCAAGACUUAUAUCAACCGCUAUGGAUCAGAAACUCGAGCCAGGUGCUACAAGUGUGAAUACUGCUUGUGUGCAUAGUGAAUCAUCAAAAGCAAUUGACUCUAGUAUUCUACUGGAUGAACCUAGGAAUAGCAACACAGAAUUGUCAAGCUGCAUUGCAAAUGAAACCUCACAAGCAUCACUUGAAGAUCUAGCCAAUGAUUCUCGUGCUGAAGAUGCAGGACUGUCACUUGUAGAGGCAAGCAAUAGUGACCUGAUUGAUGAAAGUUCAUACUCUCAACAAACUACGUCUGGACAGACACGUGAGUUUCAUUCUGACAGAGCUUGUUGUAAACCAUUGGAAGAAAGACGGAAGCCCGGCUCUGAACUUGCAGAAAAUGAAUCAAUGGAAAUUGGCACUGGAUUAUCCAGUGGUAUUUCUAUCGAGAAUUUGGAGCCGCUUACUGAACUUGUGAACAAGAGUUGUCCUAUCAAACAUAUAGGCUUGCCUCCUGGUGAUGACAUCAGCAUUCCUGCAAAUGAACAAAUAAGACCUACUCAUGAUAAGGAGUCCAAAUACCCUGAUUGUGAACAUUUGGAAAAACUAUCUGGAAUUGUGAUUGGUAUUACUAGCCAAGGUGUACCCAGUGUUAAGAAAACUCCAAAAUUGUCAGGGAAGAAAAAUAUAAGUUCUUCGAGAAAAAGCGAUAGAGUUCUCCGGUCAAACUCACAAGAGAAACCUAAAGCUCCUGAGUCGAGUUAUAAUUCUACUAAUGUUAAUUCCACUGGUGAGGAAAAAGGGAAGAGGAGGAAAAAGAGAAGAGGGAAAAGUAUAGUGGCUGAUGAAUAUUCCAGAAUCAGGGCACGUCUUAGGUACUUGUUGAAUCGGAUGAGCUAUGAGCAAAGCUUGAUCACAGCUUAUUCCGGGGAAGGCUGGAAAGGACUUAGCCUAGAAAAGUUAAAGCCUGAGAAGGAGUUGCAACGGGCCACAUCUGAAAUCAUCAGACGCAAAGUGAAAAUAAGGGAUUUAUUUCAACAUAUUGAUUCACUAUGCGGUGAAGGAAGGUUCCCAGCAUCUUUGUUUGAUUCUGAAGGACAAAUUGACAGUGAGGAUAUAUUCUGUGCAAAAUGUGGAUCCAAAGAUUUGACUGCUGAUAAUGAUAUUAUACUAUGUGAUGGUGCUUGCGACCGAGGGUUUCAUCAAUUCUGUUUGGUACCACCAUUGUUAAGAGAAGACAUUCCUCCUGGUGAUGAGGGCUGGUUAUGCCCUGGAUGUGAUUGCAAAGUUGACUGCAUUGACUUGCUUAAUGACUCUCAAGGAACAAAUAUAUCUAUCAGUGACAGCUGGGAGAAUGUUUUCCCCGAGGCAGCUGCAGUAGCAUCUGGACACAAACUCGACUACAACUUUGGAUUGUCUUCUGAUGAUUCUGAUGAUAAUGAUUAUGAUCCUGAUGGUCCAGAUAUUGACGAGAAGAGUCAGGAGGAAUCAAGCUCUGACGAAUACAGCUUCAGUUCUGCGUCUGAUGAAUUUGAGGCUCCACCUGAUGAUAAACAGUACUUGGGGCUCCCUUCUGAUGAUUCAGAGGAUGAUGACUAUGAUCCUGAUGCUCCAGUUCUCGAGGAGAAGCUGAAGCAGGAAAGUUCCAGUUCUGAUUUUACUUCAGACUCUGAGGAUCUUGAUGCCACUCUUAAUGGUGAUGGGUUGUCUUUAGGAGAUGAAUACCACAUGCCUAUUGAACCUCAUGAAGAUUCUAAUGGGCGAAGAUCGAGAUUUGGUGGAAAGAAGAAUCAUUCUUUAAACAGCAAGCUUUUAUCCAUGCUAGAACCAGAUUCUCACCAAGAAAAGUCUGCACCUGUUUCUGGAAAAAGAAAUAUUGAAAGAUUGGACUACAAGAAGCUCUAUGAUGAAACAUAUGGAAACAUUUCUACUUCAAGUGAUGAUGAUUACACUGAUACUGUUGCACCAAGGAAGAGGAGGAAAAACACUGGAGAUGUUGCUAUGGGGAUAGCAAAUGGAGAUGCUUCUGUUACUGAGAAUGGAAUGAAUAGCAAGAAUAUGAAUCAGGAAUUAAAGAAGAAUGAACAUACUUCUGGAAGAACUCGCCAAAACUCAAGCUUUCAAGAUACAAAUGUUUCCCCAGCAAAAACACAUGUAGGCGAAUCUCUCUCUGGUUCUAGCAGUAAAAGAGUUAGGCCCUCUGCUUACAAAAAACUUGGAGAAGCUGUAACUCAGAAACUGUACAGUUUCUUCAAGGAAAAUCAGUAUCCUGACCAAGCCGCAAAGGCAAGUUUGGCAGAAGAGCUAGGAAUUACUUUUGAGCAGGUUAACAAGUGGUUCAUGAAUGCUCGUUGGAGCUUCAACCAUUCAUCACCUGAAGGUACAAGUAAAGCUAAAAGUGCUUCAGGAAAGGGUAGCUGUGAUGGGCAUGUGAGGGAUAGUGAAUCGAAGAACCAAAAGAGCAAUAAACAAAAAACUAGCACCCCAAAAUCUAGGAGAUAGUGUGAAGUAGAUCUUCAAAAAUAUUUUAUUGAAUCAAGAAUUGAGGAAGCCGAGGUCUCCUUUCGAUUUGCACAAAGCUCUUGUGCAAAUUGUUGGUCGGGAAAUCCAUUUUAUUCUAUGAUCCUAGUAGACGAACUGACCAUUUACCUUCUGCAAGAACAAGAUGCUAGGAGAUAAUAUACUGGUUUUAUUGCCAACGACGAACUCUGCCAUGAAGGUGACCCCAAGACGCUACUGUUGUGCUGUAAUUGGUGAUUCGCUCACUGCUGUUUUCAUUUAUUAGAAGGUGUUUUGAUUAUUGUCUCUGAUCGAAGUCGAAGAAUGCAUGCCCAUUUUGGCAAGAGUGACAAGAGGAGAUGUGUAAGCAGCUAUCCAACCAGGUGAUCAAUGCAGUAGUUAUUGGUGGGUUUUACUGAUCAAAUGAUUUAUAACUUUCCUGUCUUGUUUUUCUUUUCCUAUGAAAUAGUAUUAUUCUUUCGGAGAUAACCCAAAUAUACAAAAAUAAACAAAUAAAUGCUUUGGCUCGAUGUAAUUCUACAGUUCUCUGGUGGAAAAACACUGUAUAUAAAUCUAUGUUUAUUGCGUAUUUUAAUAGUAAA
Molecule: RNA transcript, 3608 nt
Organism: Populus nigra (black poplar)
Lineage: Eukaryota; Viridiplantae; Streptophyta; Magnoliopsida; Malpighiales; Salicaceae
Gene name: homeobox protein HAT3.1-like
Exons: 10
Source: RefSeq, a predicted model, not a curated record